GGAGGCGGCCCUGAGAUCUAGAGGCUGGGCGCACCCGCCCCCCAACCAGCUGCAGAAAAGCUUCCACCUGCUCCCCCGAGCGAUCCCACGCCGAGGACCAGAACCGGCACCUUAGCCGCGCUCACCACUCCCACCCUCUGUCCUGGGCUGCUCGGAGGGAUGCGGUUCUGGUUGGCCGGCACCUACCUGGUGGCCUCCUCUGGCUGCCCAGGUCCGUCCACCUAGGGCAGGGGAUAACAAGAACGGCACCACGGCUGUAGUGGCCAAAUCUUUUAAGGUGACUGGCCCAGGAGAAGGAGCGACGGGAGGAGUGGGGGCCAGAGGCCCAGGCCCCACGGUGCCGGCGGCCCUGCGACCUGACGGCUGCUCAGCCUCCUCGCUCAGUCUCUGCUGGGGAGAUGAAGCCAGGCCUGCGGAAUGCUGCUCUGGCACGGACACCAGUGGGGGCAGGGGGCUGGCUGUGCUGGCGGGAGGCUACAAAGGAAGGCUGCCAGGCUGAGCCGGCAGCAGGGUGGGGACCACCGGGCGCUGGGCCUGGCAGGGCCCAGGGGGUGGCUGGGCCACUGUUGUAAAGAGGGGGCCUCUGUGGGCCUCUCCGGUGGCCAUGUCAUCAUUCAGAUGCACCACCCCCACCCCACCCCAAGUUGCCUGCGGCCCCAUGUCCUGUCACCAUCCCACUGCCCUGUCCUGGCAGUGCCACUCAGCCCCUCCCCCUCCAUCCUCACACCCACUGGUGCUUACACACGGGCCAUAGGAGUAGCCCCUGAGUGUGCCACCUGACCCACGCAUGGGCAGGGACUCGGGGGCCUGUUUGGAGUGACUCGGUUCUGAGUGCCAGGGGAAAAUGAGGCAGGGGCCACGAUCCUGGGGGGGCACCCACCUACCGUCUGGUGGUCUGUCCUGCAAGACUGAAUGGGCCUCCCCUAAGGCCAGAAUGGGGAGGCCGUUAUGACCUGGCUGUCCCAGAGCUGGGG
Molecule: long non-coding RNA, 974 nt
Organism: Phyllostomus discolor (pale spear-nosed bat)
Lineage: Eukaryota; Metazoa; Chordata; Mammalia; Chiroptera; Phyllostomidae
Exons: 2
Source: RefSeq, a predicted model, not a curated record